Long non-coding RNA from Alligator sinensis (Chinese alligator), 371 nucleotides. RefSeq lists it as uncharacterized. The record is from RefSeq and is a predicted model, not a curated record. Lineage: Eukaryota; Metazoa; Chordata; Crocodylia; Alligatoridae. The transcript has 2 exons.
AGGUGACGGGGGUGCGGCAGAGCACGUGGCCAGGCUGCUCCUCCGGCCCGGGGCGAGCCUCGUGCCUGCGAGCACGUACUCUGUCUCCGGCGGAGACCGGGGGCCGCGCGCCACUGACGCCCGUGUCCGUGCCUUCCUUACAGGGAGAAGGAGCUCGCCAAGGUCACCAUCAAGAAGGAGGACCUGGAGCUGAUCAUGACGGAGAUGGAGAUCUCGCGGGCGGCGGCGGAGCGCAGCCUGCGGGAGCACCUGGGGAAUGUGGUGGAGGCCCUCAUCACCCUCACCAACUGAGCCUGCGCCUGCACCGUGCGGACAGCAGCGGUGGUUGGACACUGUGUGACUGGUGGGAAUAAAGGCACCAUCUGGCCUGG